UUUAUCACGUAUCCAUGUUCG
This 21-nucleotide non-coding RNA is filed under the name Caenorhabditis elegans. The record is from RNAcentral. Lineage: Eukaryota; Metazoa; Nematoda; Chromadorea; Rhabditida; Rhabditidae.